GACGAACGCUGGCGGCGUGCUUAACACAUGCAAGUCGAACGGAAAGGCCCUGCUUUUGUGGGGUGCUCGAGUGGCGAACGGGUGAGUAACACGUGAGUAACCUGCCCUUGACUUUGGGAUAACUUCAGGAAACUGGGGCUAAUACCGGAUAGGAGCUCCUGCUGCAUGGUGGGGGUUGGAAAGUUUCGGCGGUUGGGGAUGGACUCGCGGCUUAUCAGCUUGUUGGUGGGGUAGUGGCUUACCAAGGCUUUGACGGGUAGCCGGCCUGAGAGGGUGACCGGCCACAUUGGGACUGAGAUACGGCCCAGACUCCUACGGGAGGCAGCAGUGGGGAAUAUUGCACAAUGGGCGGAAGCCUGAUGCAGCAACGCCGCGUGCGGGAUGACGGCCUUCGGGUUGUAAACCGCUUUCGCCUGUGACGAAGCGUGAGUGGCGGUAAUGGGAAAAGAAGCACCGGCUAACUACGUG
This 468-nucleotide ribosomal RNA is filed under the name uncultured bacterium. RNAcentral describes it as "partial 16S ribosomal RNA". It matches the Rfam family "Bacterial small subunit ribosomal RNA", at positions 28 to 507 of the family's 1533-position model. The record is from RNAcentral.